RNAcentral lists this ribosomal RNA (492 nucleotides) under uncultured bacterium. Its description in RNAcentral is "partial 16S ribosomal RNA". It matches the Rfam family "Bacterial small subunit ribosomal RNA", at positions 29 to 507 of the family's 1533-position model. The record is from RNAcentral.
AGUGAACGCUGGCGGUAGGCCUAACACAUGCAAGUCGAACGGCAGCACAGUAAGAGCUUGCUCUUACGGGUGGCGAGUGGCGGACGGGUGAGGAAUACAUCGGAAUCUACUUUUUCGUGGGGGAUAACGUAGGGAAACUUACGCUAAUACCGCAUACGACCUACGGGUGAAAGCAGGGGAUCUUCGGACCUUGCGCGAUUGAAUGAGCCGAUGUCGGAUUAGCUAGUUGGCGGGGUAAAGGCCCACCAAGGCGACGAUCCGUAGCUGGUCUGAGAGGAUGAUCGGCCACACUGGAACUGAGACACGGUCCAGACUCCUACGGGGGGCAGCAGUGGGGAAUAUUGGGCAAUGGGCGCAAGCCUGAUCCAGCCAUACCGCGUGGGUGAAGAAGGCCUUCGGGUUGUAAAGCCCUUUUGUUGGGAAAGAAAAGCAGCAGGUUAAUACCCCGCUGUUCUGACGGUACCCAAAGAAUAAGCACCGGCUAACUUCGUG